UACGGAGGGUGCGAGCGUUGUCCGGAAUCACUGGGCGUAAAGGGCGCGUAGGCGGCCUGAUAAGUAGGGGGUGAAAUCCUGCGGCUUAACCGCAGGGCUGCCUUCUAAACUGUCAGGCUUGAGCACAGUAGAGGCAGGUGGAAUUCCCGGUGUAGCGGUGGAAUGCGUAGAGAUCGGGAGGAACACCAGCGGCGAAGGCGGCACUCUGGGCUGGAACUGACGCUGAGGAGCGAAAGCGUGGGUAGCAAACAGG
Molecule: ribosomal RNA, 253 nt
Filed under: uncultured bacterium
Lineage: Bacteria
Description: partial 16S ribosomal RNA
Rfam family: Bacterial small subunit ribosomal RNA
Source: RNAcentral